CACGUAGGGGGCGAGCGUUGUCCGGAUUUAUUGGGCGUAAAGAGCUCGUAGGCGGCUUUGUCAGUCGGGUGUGAAACCUCCAGGCUCAACCUGGAGCCGCCACCCGAUACUGCAAUAGCUAGAGUCCGGUAGGGGAGCAUGGAACUCCUGGUGUAGCGGUGAAAUGCGCAGAUAUCAGGAGGAACACCAAUGGCGAAGGCAGCUCGCUGGAACGGUACUGACGCUGAGGCGCGAAAGCGUGGGGAGCGAACAGG
This 254-nucleotide ribosomal RNA is filed under the name uncultured bacterium. RNAcentral describes it as "partial 16S ribosomal RNA". It matches the Rfam family "Bacterial small subunit ribosomal RNA", at positions 524 to 776 of the family's 1533-position model. The record is from RNAcentral.